Molecule: ribosomal RNA, 253 nt
Filed under: uncultured bacterium
Lineage: Bacteria
Description: partial 16S ribosomal RNA
Rfam family: Bacterial small subunit ribosomal RNA
Source: RNAcentral
UACGUAGGUGGCAAGCGUUGUCCGGAUUUACUGGGCGGAAAGAGCGCGCAGGCGGUCGUUCAAGUCGAGUGUGAAAGCCCCCGGCUCAACUGGGGAGGGUCAUUCGAUACUGAUCGACUGGAAGGCAGGAGAGGGAAGCGGAAUUCCCGGUGUAGUGGUGAAAUGCGUAGAUAUCGGGAGGAACACCAGUGGCGAAGGCGGCUUCCUGGCCUGUUCUUGACGCUGAGGCGCGAAAGCUAGGGGAGCAAACAGG